Molecule: ribosomal RNA, 538 nt
Filed under: fungal endophyte
Lineage: Eukaryota; Fungi
Description: eukaryotic LSU rRNA
Rfam family: Eukaryotic large subunit ribosomal RNA
Source: RNAcentral
CGGCGAAGUGAAGCGGCAACAAGCUCAAAUUUGAAAUCUGGCUUCGGCCCGAAGUUGUAAUUUGCAGAGGAAGCUUCUGGCGCGGCGCCGUCCGAGUCCCCUGGAACGGGGCGCCAUAGAGGGUGAGAGCCCCGUAUGGAUGGAUGCCUAGCCUGUGUGAAGCUCCUUCGACGAGUCGAGUAGUUUGGGAAUGCUGCUCAAAAUGGGAGGUAAAUUCCUUCUAAAGCUAAAUAUUGGCCAGAGACCGAUAGCGCACAAGUAGAGUGAUCGAAAGAUGAAAAGCACUUUGAAAAGAGGGUUAAAUAGCACGUGAAAUUGUUGAAAGGGAAGCGCUUAUGACCAGACUUGCGCCAGGCUGAUCAUCCGGUGUUCUCACCGGUGCACUCUGCCUGGCUCAGGCCAGCAUCGGUUUCAGCGGGGGGAUAAAGGCCUAGGGAACGUAGCUCCUCCGGGAGUGUUAUAGCCCUGGGUGCAAUGCCCCCGCCGGGACCGAGGUUCGCGCAUCUGCAAGGAUGCUGGCGUAAUGGUCAUCAGCGAC